AGUGAACGCUGGCGGUAGGCCUAACACAUGCAAGUCGAACGGCAGCACAGUAAGAGCUUGCUCUUACGGGUGGCGAGUGGCGGACGGGUGAGGAAUACAUCGGAAUCUACUUUUUCGUGGGGGAUAACGUAGGGAAACUUACGCUAAUACCGCAUACGACCUACGGGUGAAAGCAGGGGAUCUUCGGACCUUGCGCGAUUGAAUGAGCCGAUGUCGGAUUAGCUAGUUGGCGGGGUAAAGGCCCACCAAGGCGACGAUCCGUAGCUGGUCUGAGAGGAUGAUCAGCCACACUGGAACUGAGACACGGUCCAGACUCCUACGGGAGGCAGCAGUGGGGAAUAUUGGACAUUGGGCGCAAGCCUGAUCCAGCCAUACCGCGUGGGUGAAGAAGGCCUUCGGGUUGUAAAGCCCUUUUGUUGGGAAAGAAAAGCAGCAGGUUAAUACCCCGCUGUCCUGACGGUACCCAAAGAAUAAGCACCGGCUAACUUCG
RNAcentral lists this ribosomal RNA (490 nucleotides) under uncultured bacterium. RNAcentral's name for it is "partial 16S ribosomal RNA". It matches the Rfam family "Bacterial small subunit ribosomal RNA", at positions 29 to 505 of the family's 1533-position model. The record is from RNAcentral.